CUAAUUCAUAAAUAAGAGCAUUAGUUGAAUAAAAUUUUGAAAAGUGUCGCCAGUCAAAGGUUCGAAUAUUCAAUAUUUUUUAAUCUUGUAUUAUUCUCAAAAUUUAAUAAUCAGACCACGAUGAAAACUUUAAUAAUUUUUUUAAUUGUCGUGGCUGCUAUCGGGGCGAUCGAAAGCUGUAUUACUAGAAAAGAUAAUGCUAAUUGCCUGAAAGAAGGUGAGCCUGUAUUGUGACCUGCAAAAUCUUCGUUGCUGUAACGGUUACGUUUGCACAAUAUUCGUCAAUGGUAGCUGGUUGUGUACUGAACGUUUCUAAUAUCAACAUAUUUGAAAACUAUUGUCUACAUUGUGUAGACUUUUUAUAAUUUUUCAUAAAUUCGUACAAUUAGAAGUUAAAUACUAUCUUCGUAAUCGAUGGUUUAAUUAGAAUGCUAUGAAACUGUUUUCAAGUAUGUUACAUAAGUAUUGAUAAAAUAUUAUUUACCAAACAAGUUUUGUGUAAAUUAAAUUUAAAUUAUGACCAUUAAAUUUUUUUUUAAACAUUUUAUCGUUUCGAAAAAAAACUUGAAAUCAUAAACUCGCAGUAAAAAAUGCAUCCAAGGUAACGGUAAUAAAAAUUAUCAUUUUGACUCGUAAAUGUUUAUUGUCAUAAAUAUGUACAUACAUUUAUUCUUUCGAAAAUUUUAAAUAUUUUUAUAUUCCGUAACUUGAAAAUUUGCUAAGUUAUAUAUUGAGUUGCAUAAAAUUUUUCAGUCCAAUAAUUUACUCAAAAAAUAAAAAAAAAAAAACCGCGGCCGAAAAAAGGCUGAAUCAAUUUUCGGCAAAAUUUCGGCUGAUUUUUAAAAAAAUUUUCGACGUGUAUUCAGCGUAAUUUCGGCUUCAGUGUAAUUUUGGCCUAAUUUGGACUUUUUUGAAUAAAAUUCCAUACAUGGUUUCGACGUGACUGCGGCCAAAUUUAGCCUUUUCGGCGUAUUUUCGGCUGAAUAUUUUGACUCGCGAUAUAUAAGUUUGUUUAGACUCGGAAAAGUAAUAUAAUUACAAUAACGACAGUUAUUUUCAUAUAUAUAUAUAUAUUUCCUGAUAUAAUUUCAAGGUAUUAUUCGAAAUAAAUCUAAAAAUAUGUUUUUAUUAUCUUUCAUGACUCACUAUUCUGAUUAAAUAUGUGUUAAAUUUUUUAUCUAUAAGUUAGACGAUUUUUGAUAUAUAAGUGUCAUUUAGUAUCGAUAUACAGUAGAAGAAACAUAUUAAUUCCAACUUUUUUAACAUUAACGCUGGAGUGAUUAUUCAAAAAUGUCGAUUAAAUUUGGUUUGGCUCUCCUUAUCGGGAUAAUGAUAGUUUCAGGUAUCGAAGGUUGUCCUUCUGAUGUAUGCUCAAGCCAAAAUCAAUCUUGUAACCAUAUUUUAAAAUGUUGCCAUGAAUAUAUUUGCGAACCAAGAGUUAUAGGAGACAACGAGUUUGUAUGUAAAGAAAGAAGUACAAAUUUAGGAUUUCAAAACUAGAUACAUUAAAAUUGAAGUUUAUUUCAAAAACUUAUUGUAAGGAUUACGAAAAAAUGGACUAUUAAUAAAUAACUUAUUUACGA
This is a long non-coding RNA of Microplitis demolitor, 1583 nucleotides long. RefSeq lists it as uncharacterized. Lineage: Eukaryota; Metazoa; Arthropoda; Insecta; Hymenoptera; Braconidae. The transcript is spliced from 5 exons. The record is from RefSeq and is a predicted model, not a curated record.